CCUACGGGUGGCAGCAGUGGGGAAUAUUCGUCAAUGGGCGCUAGCCUGACCGAGCAAAGUCGCGUGAAGGAUGACUGCCCUCUGAGUUGUAAACUCCUUUUAUAUGGGAGUACAGUGCAGUAUGUAUACUGCUUUGACUGUGCCUUUUGAAUAAGGCUCGGCUAACUCCGGGUCCGCAGCCGCGGUCAUACGGAGGAUCCGAGCGUUAUCCGGAUUUAUUGGGUUUAAAGGGAGCGUAGGCGGGUUGGUAAGUCAUGUGGGAAAGUUUGCGGCUCAACCGUAAAAUUGCAGUUGAUACUGGCAACCUUGAGUACAGAAGAGGUAAGCGGAAUUCGUGGUGUAGCGGUGAAAUGCGUAGAUAUAACGAAGAACUCCGAUGGCGAAGGCGGCCUGCUGGACUGUAACUGACGCUGAGGCUCGAAAGUGUGGGGAUCAAACAGGAUUAGAUACCCUUGUAGUC
This 460-nucleotide ribosomal RNA is filed under the name uncultured bacterium. RNAcentral's name for it is "partial 16S ribosomal RNA". It matches the Rfam family "Bacterial small subunit ribosomal RNA", at positions 338 to 795 of the family's 1533-position model. The record is from RNAcentral.